UGGGGAAUCUUGCACAAUGGGGGGAACCCUGAUGCAGCGACGCCGCGUGAGCGAUGAAGCCCUUCGGGGUGUAAAGCUCUUUCGGCAGGAACGAUAAUGACGGUACCUGAAGAAGAAGCUGCGGCUAACUACGUGCCAGCAGCCGCGGUAAUACGUAGGCAGCAAGCGUUGUUCGGAGUUACUGGGCGUAAAGAGUGCGUAGGCGGUGCUCUAAGUUUGGUGUGAAAUCUCCCGGCUCAACUGGGAGGGUGCGCCGAAAACUGGAGUGCUUGAGUAUGGAAGAGGCAAGCGGAAUUCCUGGUGUAGCGGUGAAAUGCGUAGAUAUCAGGAGGAACACCUGUGGUGUAGACAGCUUGCUGGACCAUCACUGACGCUGAGGCACGAAAGCGUGGGUAGCAAACAGGAUUAGAUACCCUGGUAGUCCACGCCCUAAACGAUGCAUACUUGGUGUGAGCCAUUCAUUUGGUUCGUGCCGGAGCUAACGCGUUAAGUAUGCCGCCUGGGGAGUACGGUCGCAAGGCUGA
This 524-nucleotide ribosomal RNA is filed under the name uncultured Acidobacteriota bacterium. Its description in RNAcentral is "bacterial SSU rRNA". It matches the Rfam family "Bacterial small subunit ribosomal RNA", at positions 355 to 897 of the family's 1533-position model. The record is from RNAcentral. Lineage: Bacteria; Pseudomonadati; Acidobacteriota.